This 92-nucleotide non-coding RNA is filed under the name human gut metagenome. RNAcentral describes it as "TPP riboswitch (THI element)". It matches the Rfam family "TPP riboswitch aptamer (THI element)", at positions 10 to 89 of the family's 105-position model. From Rfam's summary of the family: Vitamin B(1) in its active form thiamin pyrophosphate (TPP) is an essential coenzyme that is synthesised by coupling of pyrimidine and thiazole moieties in bacteria. The record is from RNAcentral.
GCAGGGGUGCUGUGCUAUGGUGCACGGCUGAGACGGCAGACGCUGAACCCUUUAAACCUGAUUCGGACAAUACCGGCGUAGGGAGAUUUUGU